UACGGAGGGAGCUAGCGUUGUUCGGAAUUACUGGGCGUAAAGCGCACGUAGGCGGCUAUUCAAGUCAGAGGUGAAAGCCCAGGGCUCAACCUUGGAACUGCCUUUGAAACUAGAUAGCUAGAAUUCUGGAGAGGUCAGUGGAAUUCCGAGUGUAGAGGUGAAAUUCGUAGAUAUUCGGAAGAACACCAGUGGCGAAGGCGACUGACUGGACAGAUAUUGACGCUGAGGUGCGAAAGCGUGGGGAGCAAACAGG
RNAcentral lists this ribosomal RNA (253 nucleotides) under uncultured bacterium. RNAcentral describes it as "partial 16S ribosomal RNA". It matches the Rfam family "Bacterial small subunit ribosomal RNA", at positions 524 to 776 of the family's 1533-position model. The record is from RNAcentral.